GCGCGAGUCGCAGGGCCGUACGAAACCCGAAGGCGCAACGAAAGUGAAGGCCGCCCUCGAGGGCGGCUCGGGCGGGAUCCGCGGCGGAGAAAUCGGCCGCGGCGCACCGCCGGCCCGUCUCGGCCGCAACGUCGGCGAGGCGGAGCAAGAGCGCGCGCGUUGGGACCCGAAAGAUGGUGAACUAUGCCCGAGCAGGACGAAGCCAGAGGAAACUCUGGUGGAGGUCCGCAGCGAUUCUGACGUGCAAAUCGAUCGUCGAACUUGGGUAUAGGGGCGAAAGACUAAUCGAACCGUCUAGUAGCUGGUUCCUGUCGAAGUUUCCCUCAGGAUAGCUGGCGCUCGUUGCAGUUUUAUCCGGUAAAGCGAAUGAUUAGAGGCCUUGGGGACGAAACGACCUCAACCUAUUCUCAAACUUUAAAUGGGUAAGAAGUCCGACUCGCUCGAUCGGAGCCGGGCCGUUGCGAAUGCGAGUGCCAAGUGGGCCACUUUUGGUAAGCAGAACUGGCGCU
Molecule: ribosomal RNA, 509 nt
Filed under: Theromyzon tigris
Lineage: Eukaryota; Metazoa; Annelida; Clitellata; Rhynchobdellida; Glossiphoniidae
Description: Theromyzon sp. t MF-2021 partial 28S ribosomal RNA
Rfam family: Eukaryotic large subunit ribosomal RNA
Source: RNAcentral